RNAcentral lists this long non-coding RNA (296 nucleotides) under Erythranthe guttata (spotted monkey flower). Its description in RNAcentral is "long non-coding RNA (EGUT_LNC002872)". Lineage: Eukaryota; Viridiplantae; Streptophyta; Magnoliopsida; Lamiales; Phrymaceae. The record is from RNAcentral.
AGAGAGGUGUGAGUAUCGCCAGGCCAAUGUUCUUACUGAGCCAGUGGUUAGGCUCACGCUUUAUGCGAAUCCCCUUUUCAGGUUCUCAAUGUAAUCAGAGUGGCGCAGCGGAGCGGAGUUGGAGGAAUCACAAGCCUUGAUGCCUUAUAUGUCGUCUUCGGAUUUCUUACAAAAUUAUCUCUCCACUUUUCCCUUUUAAAAAUCCAAUGUAUAAUGGAGAUCUUUACGAGUUCAUUUUGUACUCUGAUUUUGGAAUCUAGUCUAUUAAACCGGGGUAUAUAAAUAAAGUUUAUUUU